Molecule: long non-coding RNA, 404 nt
Organism: Bombyx mori (domestic silkworm)
Lineage: Eukaryota; Metazoa; Arthropoda; Insecta; Lepidoptera; Bombycidae
Exons: 2
Source: RefSeq, a predicted model, not a curated record
GAUGAAAUAUUGCGUUUCGUGAACGCUUGCAAAGCAAUCUUGGUCAAUUACAGUAACCUUGCCGGUUUAUUCGUGAGGAUGUGGCGUCACCGGUACGAUGGCAAUGUCUGUUUCCUUUUUGUGAGCUGCUAUAAGCAUCGAAAAGUUUAUCGAAAAGGAUCUUAUUAAGGUUGUCGGAACGUAAAUCGGAUCUAUAAAAAUAGUCAGAUAGCCCAUCGACCUUUCAUCGUACAGGACGAUAAGUGCGCGGACAUCGAGACAAAGUCGAGGUCGUUAACCCCGGACUAUCAGCUGACGACAUCGGCCAAACCACGGAGAAAUUAUCUUUCACGCUUUAUUUCGGUCGUUCACUGGCUCUAUUGCCCUCCAUAUUUUCUAGUCACAAAUAAAAAGUACGUUAACAA